Molecule: ribosomal RNA, 392 nt
Filed under: uncultured bacterium
Lineage: Bacteria
Description: bacterial SSU rRNA
Rfam family: Bacterial small subunit ribosomal RNA
Source: RNAcentral
GACGAACGCUGGCGGCGUGCUUAACACAUGCAAGUCGAGCGGUAAGGCCCUUUCGGGGGUACACGAGCGGCGAACGGGUGAGUAACACGUGGGUGACCUGCCCUCAGCUCUGGGAUAAGCCUGGGAAACCGGGUCUAAUACUGGAUAUGACUCCAUGACGCAUGUUGUGGGGUGGAAAGCCUUGUGCGGCUGAGGAUGGGCCCGCGGCCUAUCAGCUUGUUGGUGGGGCGAUGGCCUACCAAGGCGACGACGGGUAGCCGGCCUGAGAGGGCGACCGGCCACACUGGGACUGAGACACGGCCCAGACUCCUACGGGAGGGCAGCAGUGGGGAAUCUUGCGCAAUGGGCGAAAGCCUGACGCAGCGACGCCGCGUGAGGGAUGACGGCCUCGG